CAGUCGCCACGGUAAUACGUAGGGCGCGAGCGUUAAUCGGAAUUACUGGGCGUAAAGCGUGCGUAGGCGGUUUGUUAAGUCUGCUGUGAAAUCCCCGGGCUCAACCUGGGAAUGGCAGUGGAUACUGGCAAGCUAGAGUGUGUCAGAGGAUGGUGGAAUUCCCGGUGUAGCGGUGAAAUGCGUAGAGAUCGGGAGGAACAUCAGUGGCGAAGGCGGCGACCUGGUCCUUGACUGACGCUGAGGCGCGAAAGCGUGGGGAGCAAACAGGAUUAGAUACCCCUGUAGUCCCUGUCUCUUAUAC
This 301-nucleotide ribosomal RNA is filed under the name uncultured bacterium. RNAcentral describes it as "partial 16S ribosomal RNA". It matches the Rfam family "Bacterial small subunit ribosomal RNA", at positions 509 to 807 of the family's 1533-position model. The record is from RNAcentral.